GGGUUGUGUUGAGUUUCAAGUGUCCUCCUGAAACCUCGGUCUUCACGGGCGAGGCAACAGCUAUCUUAGAAGCUCUUCUCUACACUGAGUCCCACAAAUUAAAUAAAACUAUCAUUUUAUCAGAUUCGGCCAGCUGUUUACAAGCUAUCAUCGCUUAUCCAUUUAAAUCUAAAUCAAAAUUUCCAAUAAUUCUCAAAAUUAGAGAAACUCUUCAUCGCUGUGUGACUCAGGGUAUUGAGGUAGCUAUUGCCUGGAUUCCCGGACACAGUGGCAUCAUUGGUAAUGAGUGUGCAGAUUCCUUCGCUAAGGAAGCCGUUAGCUUGGGCCUGGAUACUCAUUACCAAAACUUCGCUCAUGACCUUGCCUCGCUCGCAGGUCCGAGGCUAGAUAGAUCCUGGAAAGUGUCCUGGGACACUUCCAGGAAUCUCAAAGGUAUUAACCCUGUAAAUAUAUCUAAAUUACCGUAAAGACAGCUAUAAUAUACAUGUGUGUUCCUUAUUACUAUUGAAUUUGGCGGAAUUUGCUGUGUCAGUCACACACGGCAUAGUGCCACAACCAAAGAUUGAUUGAUU
This is a non-coding RNA of Plutella xylostella (diamondback moth), 572 nucleotides long. The record is from RefSeq and is a predicted model, not a curated record. Lineage: Eukaryota; Metazoa; Arthropoda; Insecta; Lepidoptera; Plutellidae.